GCCCUCUGAUUGGCUGCAGAGCAUGAGACAGUGCGAGAGGAGGCACAUAAAUACAGAGUGGAGUUGCAGAGUCACUAUCGAAUACGCUCUUAGCAUAAGCUGAGCUAAGACCAGCAGCAACACAGCAGAACAGAGGAGCUAUCAGAACACUAACUCCAGACCACCAUCAAGACCUAGCAAGAUCAACAUCUCUACUUGAUUUCCGAGCUGCAAACUCAAGGCCAACAUCUGAAAAUGCCUGCCUAUUUGGACAUUGCUCUUCAGGGCAGCAUGAAUGUGAAAGAUCAGCACAUUAGAUGUAAACUCUCUCUGUUGGAGAGGAAGUGCAGCAGCGGUGUGGAGAAACUGAAGAUAGUUAUUGGAGAACACCUACAGAACGGGAUCUCUACAUCUCCCAUAUCUCCUAUUCUGGAGAAAACCGUGUCAUUUUUCACUCCCAAGAAGGUCUUGCUGUCACCCACUGGCUAUUCCAAAUAUUCCAGGGACAUGCUGCGUCUCUUUCCCACUCCAGAGGAGGACAUUGUACCACUCUGCUUCGAACAAUGAACUGAUAGAUGCAUGGACGUGGAGGUUACCAUUCAGAGCUCACAGACCCUGCUGUAAUUAACUGUGGCUUUGGCUUAAUGAAUUCUCUUGUGAUGCUGCUAUAGACAGACUGCAACUGAUUGGCAGAUAUUGGAUCGCAACUGACAGAGAGACAUAGCUAAAUGAAUAAUAUUUUUUUAAUACAUUUUGUCUAAAAGUACAAUGAUUUUGUGAAGCUUAGUUUUGUGUAUGUUGCAAAUUCUCUAGAAAUGAUUUGGAAAUGCAUUGCAUGCAUUGUUAUAAGCAGUUGUACUGCUCUAUCCUUUCCCUGAGAAAGUCACCUUUGGAUGAAUUUGUUGAUCUAUGUUACCUGAAAGAGAGCGGAGUUGGUUACUCUGAUUGUAAACACUUGUCCUCAGAGUUUGAAAUACAGAGUGCUGGCCACUCUUGUUAUAAAGUAGAAGUAUUGAAAAUAUGACCAUUGGUUUAUCCCACUUUCUUAGGGUAUGUGAGUCAAUGUAUAAUUUGAACCCUGUUUUCCUUUAUACUAAUGGGAAAUGCUAUGAUUUUAAUGUUAAAGCAUAUUGUUUAUUUUGUUUUCAAUUACUUAUUAAUGGCUUCACACAUACACAAAUGUGCCUAAAGGGUUUUCAAAUGUGCCUAACAUGUUUCAUUCAAAGACUAAAUAAAUAUUUUGAUAAUA
Oncorhynchus kisutch (coho salmon) is the source of this 1228-nucleotide long non-coding RNA. RefSeq lists it as uncharacterized. The record is from RefSeq and is a predicted model, not a curated record. Lineage: Eukaryota; Metazoa; Chordata; Actinopteri; Salmoniformes; Salmonidae. The transcript is spliced from 2 exons.